AACAGCCAAUUGGUUCCAGACCACACAAACAAUACAGUUUCAAAACUCAAUACAGUAACUAUAACCUAUUAAGCUAAUCAAUUUCCAAACAACACCAACAGUACACUGUGUUCAGAUGGUUACCUUAUCCAAUGUUGAGUAGAAUCUUGAUGAUUACAGUGACAGAAGCUUGAUGAUCCCAAAAGCUCCUUAACAGCAGAAACCCUAAACAAGAACGAGAAACAGAAACGUUAAUUGCUUCUGGGAAAAGAACAGAAAUGCAUAUAUGGAAAAUCAGAAACCCUAAUCGGCUUACCUUGUUCUAACCCUACAGUACUCGCACCAAAACUUGAUGGAUGAUGAUGGCCACAGUCCACAGAUUGACAGCUCCAAAACCUCCACAAUACACAUGCACGAACACAAAGAGUCAAGGACUGGAGUUUUAACCCUUUAUUUCAGCAGAAAACCUUCAGACUCAAUGAAAAAACGAAUCAAAAACCUACACAACUUACUCUCUGUUUUUUCUUAGUAGUGGUCGUUGCUAGGAGUCUGCAUGUGGCUCGAUGUUAAGGUACUGCUCCCAACACAGAAAGGGGACCCUAUAUAUAGAGGACAAGUUGUGAGAAACUCAUAAUACACGAAGAAGAAGGAAAGAAUAAGUGCAUGCAUCGAUAUUAUAUGACUUAUCUGUGAUAAUAAUCGAAGAAUCAGGGGAGAUAUGAACCCUAAUCGGUAAAUAAUCAUUUUUGGGAGUUGUAAUCGACGAAAUCGUCGGAUUGAUAGGUCAAAUGUGUUGAAAACAAGAGAACAGAGGAAGGAAUUAACGAAUUCGUCGGAGAUUUCAUGGGAAAUCGUCCGAUUUUUCGUCGGAGAAGGGUUUCAUCGAGAGGAAAUCGCGAUGGAGAAGGGUUUCAGUUGAGAGAAAAGGGGAUUUGGACGGCUAGGGUUUCAGAAGACAGUCGGAAGGGGAAGCUGCUGCGCGUUUUUGGUUUAUAUAUCAAAGCCAAAACGCGGUCGUUUAGAUCACGGUUAACCAACGGUUUGGCCGCGGGCCGGAUUCCGCGAAAACCAACCCCACCCGGUACCCGUGUCUGCCGGUUUUCGGGUUACCCGCGAACCAUUUCCGGGUCCAAAAUCCGGGCCAAAAAGCCCACAUUUCGGGUAGAGUCCACGGUUACCCAUCGCGGGCCAACCCAGAUGCCAUCCC
This 1186-nucleotide long non-coding RNA is filed under the name Linum usitatissimum (flax). Its description in RNAcentral is "long non-coding RNA (LUSI_LNC005465)". Lineage: Eukaryota; Viridiplantae; Streptophyta; Magnoliopsida; Malpighiales; Linaceae. The record is from RNAcentral.